Molecule: small nuclear RNA, 23 nt
Filed under: Arabidopsis thaliana (thale cress)
Lineage: Eukaryota; Viridiplantae; Streptophyta; Magnoliopsida; Brassicales; Brassicaceae
Description: snRNA_15141
Source: RNAcentral
AUAUAUAGAUUCCAAGUAGUAAG